UUUGAAACAUGCUCUGCUUACUCUAGUGACUUGCUGAAAACUACAGUUUGGUGUGGUUACAGUCUCUCUCCUUUGUCUGUUCACCUCAUCUGAAAACUACAGCAGUGUGAGCUAAGGCGAUGAAAGUAAUAUGCUCUAUCACCUUAUAAUUCUGUACAAAGGUAGCUCCUUCCCUAAGUCUUGUUAUUUGAUCAUGGAUGCAUCUCUGCACCUACAUUUUUCACUGUUUGAAAUAUGCUCUGCUUACUCUAGUGAAUCGCUGAAAGCUACAGUUUGGCUGCAAACACAUGAAACCUCCGCUCCUUUGCCUGCUCACCUCAUCUGCAUUGCAUCCAUUUCUUUCAGCAGCGUGAGAUAAGGCAGUAAUCCCAUGAUCUCAAAAGGCCAUCAGCACACACAUCUACAGUGAUAAAAGGAUUACCCUCACCAGUUCAGAUCUCACAAAUGCAACUCUGAAACUAACUGUUCUUUCAGUCGUUACAGUUCAGCAUUUCUCAAAUGAUAGUUGCAGGUCUUCAUGGUUGCUUUCCUGAUCUACCUGAAUCCUGCCGUCAGACGCCCCCAGUUCACAACGCGAUGCUGAGUAAACUCCAGGCCGGGAGAAAAAACCGCCGUCCGCGCGUGCGCGGGAGCUAUAUUGGUCCCUCGAUCGCCGUCUCAGGCGACGACGAGCCGCCGCCCGCCGGCGCCCGCGGAGAAGCUAGGGACGUUGUGAGCGGAGCGCGCGGGGAGCCGGAGACAGAUGCUAGUAUGGGUGAAUCUCGACGGAUCCUCACGCGGGAUUCGUGGGGACGGGGCUAGCGGAGGUCGGCGACGGCAGCGCGAUCUCGUCGGCGACCGCCGCACCGCCGCCCGGGCUUUCUAAUUGCUACCCGGUGAAAUUUUACAAAUAGGACCUUUGUAUUUACAUCUAGGACCCCAAUAUUUUGCAGAAAGCCCCCUGGCUCGGACGGGCCAGAUGGUCUCUCCCCUGGGCUCCCGCUCCUGUCCGCCCGGCGGCGUCCGCCGCCACCGCCGCCGUCCUCUUCACGUUUCAUUUCAGCCAGAAGCACAGAGCCCCUUCUUACCCAUCCCCCGCUCAGGCCCUAGCACCAGCUCUCCACUCCUGAGUCCUGACCCCUCUGCUCAACCCAUGAAGCUGAGGACCCCAAGCUAGCGCGCGAUUCGCCGUGCGCUUGAGGUCACACACCCGGCGUGGCGGGCACUCAUCUCCUUCCGGAGACCAAUCGUCAAGGUUCGGAGGAUAUUUAAUCCCUAGGAGAUUGAUUUCACCAAGUACGUAUUACUCUAUUUUUUGUUGGAUUUUCAGAGGAUGGUGCAAAACUGCUGGUAGAGAGUGCUAAUGUCAGGCUUUUCAGUAAGCAAUCUCAGCACAGAUCAUCUUUCGUCAUUGGUUUGUGCAACUGUUGUGUGCAGUUUAUGCAUUACUUUGACUGAUUUGCACAAAAUAUGUUUGCUGAUUGUGUAGGGGUGGACUAGCUAGCUAUUUCUUCAUUUGAUUACUUGAUACCUGCACAUAUGGUCAUUUUUUAAAAAAGUGGUGUAGAAGAGUGGACACUUUCUGUCCGAAAAGUUCGAAUACAGUAUUCGGCUUUAUUGACCUUUUGCACACUACAAAAUUCUUUUAUUCUCUCAUGGUUAGAGUUAAUUGCCUGUAUGGCAGAAAAGUUCAGUAGCAAGCAUUGCUUGUUGAAUUACUUUGAACAUGCUAGCUCUAAAAGAACACAACAGAGCCAGUCGUAUAUUUUUCUAUUUUUUAUUAAAAUAUGGUUACUUGGUUAGUUUGCAUUUCCCUAACAUUUUAAGCUAUUUGAUGAACUAGGUGUUAACAAAAAGAUAUGUCUACCUAGCCAAAAACUUGUUCCAAUCCAUAGGUCUGUCGUAGGUUCCUUUAGAUUUCAGUAAUGAUUAGGAAACAAUUUUGAGAGUUCUAUAGGGGUGAACGAGGGAGCUUCUGGAUCCAUCAGUUUAUAUUUUAUAAAAAAAAACAGGCAUGCAGAUGAGUCUGUAGUUUCAAGUAACUCUUCUCAUUUAAAGCAGAUUAAUCAAUUGGUUCUUGUGAUCCCAGUAGUGGCAGGCCAUUUGUCAUUUUUGCAGCAACUUGGCAGUAGUUACUCUCUUUUCAAGUAGUGGUUCCUUGUAUGCCACUACCUUUUCAAACUUUCUAAAAUCUUUGCUUUGUUAUUGUUCUUAAUGAAAGAGCAGAGCUCUUGCCACAUUGGUUUGCAUAAACCAUAGGAAAAGGAAUGUAGUAGUUAGAGGUAUUGAGAUGAGACUUUUCUUUGUUAUUAUUCUUUUUGUUGUUGCAGUUUGGAUCAAGUCUUAGGUUGGUUGGACCUAGAUGUAACCUUUGAGGGGAAGGUUGACAUAAUGUGGCAAAAUCACCCAUCUUUCUUCACAAACCUUAACUUUUCAUUGGAAUGGACGAUGCAUGAAUUUCAACUGUUAGGAUCCUGAAAUGAUGGUCUGUGCUGCUAAUCCCAUGUUUUCUAACUAAGCAGUUGAUGAAUGAUGUUAAUUGAGAUUUAAGAAGUUCUUUCUUCUAUUCAAGUUCCAAGGUUUCACACUGUCUGCUGUAGAAAUUACAAUACUUUUGGUAUCAGUGUAAAGGUACUCAAAUUUCUGGAGGUCUUACAUGGACAAAGCAAAUCAGUACUUAAUCAUUGCAAUGCUUAUUGGUUGGUGAUUUUGUGUUAAAGACAAUGUCUUUGUUUUUGAGAAUAGGAAACAUGCUUUUGUUAGUGCGAGAUACACUUUGAGCUUUUAAACUACAAAGAUUGUACUGCUAUUGUUGUUGACAGGCUUGGCGUUAAUGAUUCUGUGUACUUUAGCCUCCACUUUUUGUAAUCUAACUUUUAUCUAAGAAGAACGAUACGCUGUUUGUGUCAGUGUGUCGGUGAUAUAUAUUUUAGGUGUAUAGUAUUUUGCAAGAAGCUGAAAAUAUACUUUACAUGCUAUUUUCCCUUUUCAGAAAAUUAUUUUUGUCAAAGCUCUGAAAUUGGAUGAUGUUUAGCCAUGCAGAUAUAUGUUGCAUUGCUUACCUUUGAGAUCGAUUUGGAGCUUAGGGUUCUCUGCCAGAUACAUUGAUAUCAAACAACAGCCUUUUCCCCUCUAUAUGACUACUAGGCCAAGAGCAGACAGGCAGAUGUUCAUAUGGUAUCCUGUAUCGAUAUGUUGGUAAUUUUUUACCUUGAAAGAAUAUGCUGUAUCUCCAGUAUGUCUGUUUGCAUUGUAUAUCGGUUCACUGAAACUUUUGAUGCACGGAGAACUCUGCAAUGUAAAGUACUUUCAGUUAUCUACUCCUCUCAAAUUUUGAAACCCUUUGGGUGAUGUACAUGUCGAUUAAAUGGUAUUUUUCUACAGUUGAAAAUAUGUUCUGCCAAUCUAUGUAGUUUACUCCCCAAAUCAUAGUUUGCUGCAUCAAACUAGUACCUUCCACUAGAUGACUGCAGCCUGCACAUAUUUCCACCUGUUUUUGAAAUAUGCACUGCCUACUCAAGUGACUUGCUGAAUUUCAUAGUUUGGCUGCAUCCAUGCCUUUUAGAAGUGGGAGACACAGAGUAGUAGUCCGAGGUCCCAGCAUCUCAAGGUCCAGUUGCACACACAUCUGCAGAGAUCAAAGGAGGACCCUCAACAGUUCAGAUCUCAAAAUGUAAUUGUUCACACUAACUGACCGGUCUGUCAAUCAUUACAGGUCAACCUUUCUCAAAGGAUGCUAUGCAAAUGCACCUUUCCCUGCUUGUCUUCCCGGGCUGCUUUUCUGGUCCUCUGGGUGAGUGCAGGCGUUGCACGCGUGCUCAGACAGUCGGUCACACACCGGAGGACAGGUAUUAAGGACAGUGAAAAUCUGGUGGCGUGGCGUCCACCGGCGUGUACGGUGUACCCACAUUUACGGGCUUGCACCAUGCGGCUGUUCCCAGGGCAGGAGCGGACGGGCACGCCAUGGCCUCCGUCGCUGAAGCGCGAGCAGUGCCAUUCAUGGCCAGGGUUAUUGUUUUUGGAAGGGUGGUUGCUGUCUUGCUGUGGGCACUGUGCAAGGUAGCAAGCUGGAGGCCACUACUAUAGCAUGCAGUGAUGACGCAGAUAGAGAAGGUGGAGACGAAGGCGCCGACGCCAGGCAGGCAACAGUAGUAACCCUUGGCAGACGACGACGAGGCCGCCGCGGCCGGGGACGGGGACCAUGCGCGUGGCGUGGGCACUCUAGCCUCGAGGAGAAAUGGCAUGUCCUGGCUCCAUGGGAAAGGAGACCCGAAUUGAAGCAGGUGGAGACGAGGCGGCAGGCAGGCAGGGAUCGUCGGAGGACAGGACCAGGACCACACCACAGGGACAGCAGCAGGGAGAUUUAAAUUCUUCGCCGGAGAUGGCGAAGAUCCAGAAGCUGGGGGUGACCAUGCAUGCCCCUGCGCCGUGCAGGUCGCAGUACUGUGGUUUCUACAGCGGUUGCCUGGACUCUGCACUACAGCUCGGCACUGCACGAACAUUUGAGACCACCGUCCUCCGGCUGGUGGAUUUUAGACCGCGGCAAGGUUACGGACGGGAUCAAAUUAAUUCUUGUUCCGAUGAGUUGGUUACUGUUCUACUCGUGAGGUCAGUUUCAGUUGCCGUUUCAGACACGGAAUUUUGACUUGUGGAUGCCUCAAUUGGGCGCCAGAGUUUUUAGAGACGGUGAGGCCGGCCGGGGGAGGAUCUCGCAUCGGAGGCGGCCAAGCGCAACGGGCGGCGUCGGCGCGGUGGCCUUGUCGAUUCCCCUGGCGCGGCGCGGCUCGUGGCGUGGCACGGUGACGCUGUCUGCCGCCGCCGGUCACGUCCAAGCGAGGGCGGGCGAGACGACGACGAACUCGAUCGCCGCGCCAUGCGUGCAUGUGACCGCGCGCGUGACGGCGUGAGGCCGGCCACGUACGCGAGAGCUUAGCGUGCGGCCAAAGGUUUCAUUUGCAGCUGGCGCCUCUGCUGAGCAAUACUAGAUCUGAAUGAACCAGUACAAGUGCUGGUGACAAAGUAAACUCUGUACGGUGUGACCGUUAAUGUACUGCGGGGGCAUUGUUAUCCGAAGCUAACGCAAGUGGACGGUGCAGCUAGGUACAGUAACUUUUCAAUUUGACCAUGGUAAGGAAACAUGGAGGAGACCACCAUGCAGUAACUUAUGGUAAAUAUAUGUAAGUGCUAGAUAAAACCCCUUUUGAUGCCUUCCAAUUGGCUUAAAGAUCCUUUCUGUUGUGAAAUUUUUUUAUUAGUGAUCAAUUACUGUACAGAGUCUUUCAUGAAAGCAACCUCCUCGCUCCACCACAAGGAUAGAGCCAUCGGCCUAAUCCUGCAUUGCCGGGGACGGCACACCCUUCUUCACCAACGGUCUUCCAACAACUGCAUCUGUAGCAGUGACAACGGCAGUGGACCAUGCGACGGUGCCUGCGGCACCAAACCCACUUGGCCGUGUCGCGGCCAUUGACCGCUGCGAGAUGUGAGGCCUAGUAGUGCU
Long non-coding RNA from Setaria italica (foxtail millet), 5476 nucleotides. RefSeq lists it as uncharacterized. The record is from RefSeq and is a predicted model, not a curated record. The transcript has 3 exons. Lineage: Eukaryota; Viridiplantae; Streptophyta; Magnoliopsida; Poales; Poaceae.